This is a non-coding RNA of Mycena galopus ATCC 62051, 91 nucleotides long. The record is from the annotation of a GenBank genome assembly. Lineage: Eukaryota; Fungi; Basidiomycota; Agaricomycetes; Agaricales; Mycenaceae.
GACUCGGUAGCGGAUGGCCCGCGUCCACUUAACAUGAGCUCGGUUGGAGCCCUACAUGUGGAAGCCGCCUGUUCGAAUCAGGCCCGAGUCC